AACGAACGCUGGCGGCGUGGAUUAGGCAUGCAAGUCGAACGAGAAUCUGGAGGUUCAAGUUUUCGGACAAGAACUUUCGGAGGAAAGUGGCGGAAGGGUGAGUACAACAUGGAUAAUCUACCUUCAAGUUGGGUAUAGCUUCCCGAAAGGGGAGAUAAUCCCGAAUGUGGUGAUCCGGCGCCUGUCGGAGAAUCCAAAGGUGGGGACCGCAAGGCCUGCCGCUUGAAGAUGAGUCCGUGCACUAUCAGCUAGUUGGUGAGGUAAUGGCUCACCAAGGCGAUGACGGUUAGCUGGUCUGAGAGGAUGGUCAGCCACACUGGGACUGAGAUACUGCCCAGACUCCUACGGGAGGCUGCAGUCGAGAAUCAUUCGCAAUGGGCGCAAGCCUGACGGUGCGACGUCGCGUGGAGGAUGAAGGUCUUCGGAUUGUAAACCCCUGUCAUGUGGGAUAAAUGGCCAGGGCAUGAAUAGUGCCUUGG
This 479-nucleotide ribosomal RNA is filed under the name uncultured bacterium. RNAcentral's name for it is "bacterial SSU rRNA". It matches the Rfam family "Bacterial small subunit ribosomal RNA", at positions 29 to 475 of the family's 1533-position model. The record is from RNAcentral.